RNAcentral lists this ribosomal RNA (236 nucleotides) under uncultured prokaryote. RNAcentral's name for it is "partial 16S ribosomal RNA". It matches the Rfam family "Bacterial small subunit ribosomal RNA", at positions 524 to 759 of the family's 1533-position model. The record is from RNAcentral.
UACGUAGGGUGCGAGCGUUGCCCGGAUUUAUUGGGCGUAAAGGGCGCGUAGGCGGUCACGCACGUCCGUUGUGAAAUCGCUCGGCUCAACUGGGCGGGGUCAGCGGAUACGGCGUGGCUGGAGCAAGCUAGGGGGCAAUGGAAUUCCCGGUGUAGUGGUGGAAUGCGUAGAUAUCGGGAGGAACACCAGUGGCGAAGGCGACUACCUGGCCUGUUCUUGACGCUGAGGCGCGAAAG